This 85-nucleotide transfer RNA is filed under the name Roseitalea porphyridii. RNAcentral's name for it is "tRNA-Leu". It matches the Rfam family "tRNA". Rfam says of the family: Transfer RNA (tRNA) molecules are approximately 80 nucleotides in length. Their secondary structure includes four short double-helical elements and three loops (D, anti-codon, and T loops). Lineage: Bacteria; Pseudomonadati; Pseudomonadota; Alphaproteobacteria; Hyphomicrobiales; Ahrensiaceae. The record is from RNAcentral.
GCGGAUAUGGCGGAACUGGUAGACGCGCCGGAUUUAGGUUCCGGUGCCGCAAGGCGUGGGGGUUCGACUCCCUCUAUCCGCACCA